This 74-nucleotide microRNA precursor is filed under the name Myotis lucifugus (little brown bat). RNAcentral's name for it is "mir-9193 microRNA precursor family". It matches the Rfam family "mir-9193 microRNA precursor family". The record is from Rfam by way of RNAcentral. Lineage: Eukaryota; Metazoa; Chordata; Mammalia; Chiroptera; Vespertilionidae.
CGUGUGGGGGGGGUGUCCCUCAGCCCAGAUUGCAAGAGGGCACAGGCCAGCCCGAGGGACCCCACUGGUGCAGG